Molecule: non-coding RNA, 3029 nt
Organism: Paramuricea clavata
Lineage: Eukaryota; Metazoa; Cnidaria; Anthozoa; Malacalcyonacea; Plexauridae
Source: the annotation of a GenBank genome assembly
GGAAUAUCGAAUGAUCGAAUUAAAAUUAUCAUUUAUCACAUGUGUUUACAAUCCUGCCGUAGAGCUGAGAGUAGUUUGGACUCGAUAGAAAAGUAUCAAAUUCUACUACAGUUUCAGGUUAGUUGAUCAUUCUGUCGAUAAUAAGUUAGCAUACUAAUUUCUUCCAUAUAUAUUUUAUAUUUAUCUUGUUGGUUAGAGACGGACAAAUCUUUCAUAGCGAUCACAAAAAAAUGAUGACAGCUGCAAAAGUUAGUCUAGUCUGCUAACGAUGUAUAUACAGUACCUUGAAAGCUGCGGCAAACCUAAAUAUUUGUAGUUUCAAAUAAAUUUGGCUCUGUGUAUACUGUAUAUUAACAUCUCGACAUUUAAUAAUAUAGAACUGUGACUAUAUAAAAGUAUCAAUUUAUAGUCAAAGAUGCUAACGAGCUAGUAUAGACAGUAUAAGAUUAAUAUUUUAUAACAAUAUAUAACUCCACUGGAGGUUUCCAUCCAGAAAUCCCUUCAACAAUUUGUUACAUCGAGUAAGAUGGCCAAAAUCCUGAUAUUUACCCAUACAUCAUACAUUGGCAUCACUUUAGUAUUUAUACAUGAACUUGUGGUUAGAGCUCGACAACUGUCUCUCGAUCUGCAGCUUGCUUGGAGCCCUGCACCCGACCGGAAUCACAGGGCCACAGGUUCGAUUCCUGCACCCGAUGGAAUCACAGGGCCACAGGUUCGAUUCCUGCACCCGAUGGAAUCACAGGGCCACAGGUUCGAUUCCUGCACCCGAUGGAAUCACAGGGCCACAGGUUCGAUUCCUGCCAGAGGUCCGAUGGCGAUGGUUGCAUUUUUUUGCAACUGCUCCUGGUUAGGUCUAAUAAAUGUAUAAAAAUUAAAUUCCACUUGAAAUUUCCAUCUACAAAUUCCUUCGACAAUUAGUUAUUAAUUAUGUCCAAAAUUCUGAUUGAGGACUGCCUUUUUAAAAUUGGUUUAGGAAACCAAAUUGCAGGCACGGAUUUUCUGGGGUUGCGGGGAUGCACCCCCCAGAAAUGAUUUGCACCCCCCAGAGGCAUUUGGCACCGCCCCCAAAAAUUUUUCCACCCCCGCAAAUUGUAUAUAUUUUGAUUUGAUAGUUUCAUAUUUGAUUAUUCUUACUACUAAAUUUGUAAAAUUACCAAUAUUAUGGUCUCAGAUCUCGCCAUAGAAGGCAGGCCUAGAAAACAAAUUUUGUUGAUAUUUAUCCACACACCCCGAACGAAAAUAUGAAAUCCAUCUCUGCCAAAUUGACGUUGAUGCACAAUUAUGCAUCUUUCCAUUGAUGCACAUUCAUGCAUUCAAGAUGCAUGUAACCAUAUUUCCAUUAUUAAUAAUUGCAUAAGAUGUAUUUAUUGAUUAUUUUGUCUUUUUCUUUUCAGAUACUGGGAAGACAUAUAAAUUGUCUAUCACCUCUGAUCUGCUGUUUCUAAUUUUGGAUUCCCAACAGCUCAGAAUUUUUUCAUAUGACGACAUCAUUUUUAGCUGUACUAUCAUUUUUCUGCUUAUGGACAACAGUGUAUUACAUGCUUUGUGUCUUCAAUAACAAACGAAGCCUGGAAUGGAACUGUCGUAUAGUAACCAUCGUCCAUGGUAUAUUAAGUUGUACCAUUUGUAUGUACUGUGGAUCUUAUACUGGACCAUGGCCAUUUGAUGCUUUGGGUGAGCCCAGUACCCCUCUUCAGACUCUCUGCAUUGUUAUAACAUUGGGAUACUUUUUAUUUGAUUUUAUUUGGUGCAUUGUUAUGGGUACGGAAGGAAUUGACAUGUUACUUCAUCAUAUAACAUCCAUAUGCGGCCUGGUUUUAUCUCUUUAUCUGGAACAUUCGGGGGCAGAACUCAUUGCGACCAUAUUUGGCUCAGAAAUAUCGAAUCCCAGCCUACAGAUCAGGUGGUUUUUCCGUGAAACAGGCAAAUACCAGACACGACUUGCUAAACUUAAUGAUAUUGUGUUUAUAGUGUUGUUCCUGUGUAUACGUAUUGGAGUGGGUGCUCGAUUAUUUACUAAUACCAUGAUCUCACCAAAGCCAUCUAUACUUAUCAAACUUGGGGGUGUAGCUUUGUAUACACUUAGUCUUGUAUGGAUGCUUCUAAUUGUACGUUUUGCCAAGAAACGAUUUUUUGGCAAUAAAAGAAAACAUUAGUUACACUUUAAUAGUCAGAGUGAUUUUAAUAUAAUAAUUAUAAUUAGGACUAAUUUACUAUGUAAAGGAUAAACAAUGAUCAAUGUGUGUUCAGUGGCUGAAUGGCCUGUCCAACUAUAUCCCACUGAACACAACUGAUCAUGAUUGUCUAUCCGACCUUAGAACAUGAUCACAUUCAGGCCUAAAAAAAUACCUGUGGUUCCUGUUUCAUAUCGUGAAAAAAUUAGGGUUGGUAGGUUAGAAACAAAUUUUUUUCGAAUAUUUUUUCAUGCUUUUGGCGGUUUUUGCUGGGCAAUUUGCAGUAGAGUACCGACAUCAAUGUUAACUAGUGAUGCAUAUUUCCUAUGGACAAAUUUAGGCAAUUCUGUUCAAUAAUUAAUUUAAUUAAUUAGUGUGACAACAGAUGCCAUUUUGGCACUGUUUGAGCAGCCUGCAACCACCCGGAGAAAAUAGGGUCGCACGGUCAAUCGCAUUGAAAAAAUAAUAGGGUCAACAGAAAAAUAUAGGGUUGGUCGGGAACUGGCCAUGAACCACGGGUAUUUUUUUUAAUCCUCACAAAGAAUUAAUCCUUUCUUUAUAUUUUUAAAAUUUAUCGAUUAAUACUCGUAGUGAAUUUAUUGAACUGAUUAUGCUGCAAUGCUCAAUAUCUGAUUAGUAUGCUGUAUAUACUGUAGAUCAUACGAAUAAGGCUUUGUUUAUCUUUUGAAUGCUUCAUUAGUAUGCUCUAUCUAGAGCAUACUAAUGAGUUAUAUAGACCCACUGUAAUUGCUAUGAAGGUUGCUGUGAGACAGUUUAUGAGAUAUAGACCAUACAAAUAUACUAAAACUGUCUGUACCAGUGUGGGUAGUAUCAAUGUGAAAAUGCUGUGCUGAG